RNAcentral lists this long non-coding RNA (1436 nucleotides) under Capra hircus (goat). Its description in RNAcentral is "lncRNA (ENSCHIG00010026312.1)". The record is from RNAcentral. Lineage: Eukaryota; Metazoa; Chordata; Mammalia; Artiodactyla; Bovidae.
CCUAAACUUUUCUGGUAAGCUUUCUAAUCAUUCACAAGAAAGGGAGUUUUUUCCUUUUAGAAUUUGAUGAGGAGGAGGUUUCAAAGCAAAGACAGGACUGAGGGUGGAACGCCAUUGUCUUAUUUUCUUUCUUUCUGUUUCCUAUUCAGAUUCCUCUUCUCUUUGGAGUCUUUCUUUGGCUUCAAUUUCCACCGGCAAAAGACACAGAAGUUACCGUCUUCCUUCCAAGUGGCGCUUUCAAAUUCAUCUUGUAUUUUCUACCUGCAGAAAAAGAAACAUUUGCUUCCAAACAUAUCAUUAGAAUCUUUUUGGAACUCUGGAUGCAUGAGAAAGGUAUAAAGUGAGCAUUUUUUGUGUGUUUGUGUGUGUAUGUAAUGAGCUGCUUUAGAUUCAGGGUUGAGCUGAAACACGAGGCCUUUUUGGAGUUUGGAAGAAUGACGGCCAGAGUCAGUUCUGGAAAGGAUUGAAACACAUAUACUCUUGGCUUAACUAUAUCUUACAAAAAUGAAGGGCUAAUGAGCGUCUUACUCCGUGCCAGACACUGGGCUUGGCUCCUCAAAUCCCUUAUCUGACUUAAUACCUGCAACCUUGUGACGUGGUAUCUUUUAUCUGGGGCUUCUUCGCAGGGAAGGCGGCUCUGCUGUAGAUAGGUUUUGGAAGUUCUGUUUCAUACCCUCAUCGAGCUGGCCCCAAAGCCAGUCUUUCCACAAUGCUUAACCGCGGCCAGCAUCUUUCCUUCACCCCUUCAGUGUUAAUGAGCCUCUGGGCCCUUGAUCUACUGGACAGGGCCUGUGUGGUCCUGCUGUCAAGGGGCUGACUGGGUCAGUGGGUGGGGGAGGCGGCCAGCAAGCCAGAAAUCUCAAAUGAGGACAAUGACUAGGGGAGAGGAGAGUUUAGAGGAGACUUGAAGGGUCAGGUAUAUCAGGGAUAGCGGAAGGGCAGGCAACGAAGGAGUUUGGGGUGUCCAGGGGAUGGAAGGGGUCCGAAGGGAGUGGUCCACAUUGAGAGGAGGGAGGGAGAGAAGGGACUGAGAUAGUUGGGGACAGGCAGGGUCUUUUAGGCAGACGAUGCUGGGCUUCUUUCCAAAGAUGAGAAAAAGCACUGGGCAGUUUGUGGGGUGGGGUGUGUGUGACUAUUAAGCAGGCCCUCAGGCUGGCAGCACUGAGAUCAGAGGUGGGGGUAGGCAGUGGGGGGACCACCCUGUGAGUCCACUGCCCGUCUUCACAACCGGGAUUCCCCAGUGGCACCAGAGUCUGACCUAGGCCAUGAGACCAGGAUUCAGACUUACAGAGAACUUCUCUGCAAGCCUUCCCCCGUUUUGCGUCUGGGGGAUUUUUUUUUAACUUUUUAUUUUGUAUUGGGAAAUAGCAAAACAAUGUCCUGAUAAAAGCUAUGGUUUUUCCAGUAGUCAUGCAUGGAUGUAAGAGUUGGACUAU